UACGGAAGGCAGCAGUGGGGAAUAUUGCACAAUGGGCGAAAGCCUGAUGCAGCUAUGCCGCGUGUAUGAAGAAGGCCUUAGGGUUGUAAGGUACUUUCAUCGGGGAGGAAAAAACAAAACUAAUAAUUUUAUUUCUUGACGUUACCCGAAAAAGAAGCACCGGCUAACUCCGUGCCAGCAGCCGCGGUAAUACGGAGGGUGCUAGCGUUAAUCAGAAUUACUGGGCGUAAAGAGCACGUAGGUGGUUUUUUUAAAGUCAGAUGUGAAAUCCCUGGGCUUAACCUAGGAACUGCAUUUUGAAACUGAAAUACUAGAGUAUCGUAGAGGGAGGUAGAAUUCUAGGUGUAGCGGUGAAAUGCGUAGAUAUCUGGAGGAAUACCUGUGGCGAAAGCGGCCUCCUAAACGAAUACUGACACUGAGGUGCGAAAGCGUGGGGAGCAAACAGGGAUUAGAUACCCGU
This 460-nucleotide ribosomal RNA is filed under the name uncultured bacterium. RNAcentral describes it as "bacterial SSU rRNA". It matches the Rfam family "Bacterial small subunit ribosomal RNA", at positions 340 to 789 of the family's 1533-position model. The record is from RNAcentral.